GAUGAAGAACGUAGCGAAAUGCGAUACGUAAUGUGAAUUGCAGAAUUCAGUGAAUCAUCGAAUCUUUGAACGCAUAUUGCGCUCUCUGGUAUUCCGGAGAGCAUGCUUGUUUGAGUAUCAGUAAACACCUCAACUCCCCUUUCUUUUUUGAAAUGGGAGCUGGACUUGAGUGAUCCCAACGCUUUUCUCACCGAAAAGUGGCGGGUUACUUGAAAUGCAGGUGCAGCUGGACUUUUCUCUGAGCUAAAAGCAUAUCUAUUUAGUCUGCCUAAAAACAGAUUAUUACCUUUGCUACAGCUAACAUAAAGGAGAUUAGUUCUUGUGCUGACUGAUGCAGGAUUCACAGAGACAGCUUCGGCUGGCCUUUGUAAACUCGAUCUCAAAUCAAGUAAGACUACCCGCUGAACUUAAGCAUAUCAAUAAGCGGAGGA
This 431-nucleotide unclassified non-coding RNA is filed under the name soil metagenome. Its description in RNAcentral is "partial contains 5.8S ribosomal RNA, internal transcribed spacer 2, and large subunit ribosomal RNA". The stretch from base 1 to 120 matches the Rfam family "5.8S ribosomal RNA", at positions 35 to 154 of the family's 154-position model. The record is from RNAcentral.